RNAcentral lists this ribosomal RNA (465 nucleotides) under uncultured Rheinheimera sp. Its description in RNAcentral is "bacterial SSU rRNA". It matches the Rfam family "Bacterial small subunit ribosomal RNA", at positions 338 to 795 of the family's 1533-position model. Lineage: Bacteria; Pseudomonadati; Pseudomonadota; Gammaproteobacteria; Chromatiales; Chromatiaceae. The record is from RNAcentral.
CCUACGGGAGGCUGCAGGGGGGAAUAUUGGACAAUGGGCGCAAGCAUGAUCCAGCCAUGCCGCGUGUGUGAAGAAGGCCUUAGGGUUGUAAAGCACUUUCAGUGGGGAGGAAGGGUGUUGUGUUAAUAGUACAGCACUUUGACGUUACCCACAGAAGAAGCACCGGCUAACUCCGUGACAGCAGCCGCGGUAAUACGGAGGGUGCAAGCGUUAAUCGGAAUUACUGGGCGUAAAGAGCACGCAGGCGGCUUUUUAAGUCGGAUGUGAAAGCCCCGGGCUCAACCUGGGAAUUGCAUCUGAUACUGGGAAGCUAGAGUAUGUGAGAGGGGGGUAGAAUUCCAAGUGUAGAGGUGAAAUGCGUAGAGAUUUGGAGGAAUACCAGUGGCGAAGGCGGCCCCCUGGCACAAUACUGACGCUCAGGUGCGAAAGCGUGGGGAGCAAACAGGAUUAGAUACCCUUGUAGUC